RNAcentral lists this small nuclear RNA (164 nucleotides) under Erpetoichthys calabaricus (reedfish). Its description in RNAcentral is "U1 spliceosomal RNA (ENSECRG00000001336.1)". It matches the Rfam family "U1 spliceosomal RNA". Rfam says of the family: U1 is a small nuclear RNA (snRNA) component of the spliceosome (involved in pre-mRNA splicing). Its 5' end forms complementary base pairs with the 5' splice junction, thus defining the 5' donor site of an intron. The record is from RNAcentral. Lineage: Eukaryota; Metazoa; Chordata; Cladistia; Polypteriformes; Polypteridae.
UUACUUACCUGGCAGGGGAGAUACCAUGAUCACUAAGGUGGUUCUCCAAGGGUGAGGCUCAUCCAUUGCACUCUGGGUGUGCUGACCCCUGUGAUUUCCCCAAAUGUGGGAAACUUGACUGCAUAAAUUGUGGUAGAGGGGGACUGUGUUCGCGCUCUCCCCUG